RNAcentral lists this long non-coding RNA (13019 nucleotides) under Cucumis sativus (cucumber). Its description in RNAcentral is "long non-coding RNA (CSAT_LNC001527)". Lineage: Eukaryota; Viridiplantae; Streptophyta; Magnoliopsida; Cucurbitales; Cucurbitaceae. The record is from RNAcentral.
CGAAAACAAAAACUGACUCCCGGCAUAUUUUUUUCGGCCUUUAUGGGCAGAGAACUUUAAUACCGCUCGAAAUGAGGCCACCCAGUAGUUAGGUGUGAAUUUUCGAGACCUUUGGCACCGUUCUAAGAUGGGUCCUCUCUUCGUAGGCUAAUGCAUUGGCCCUUUUUGACCCGUUUUGGGGCGAAAACAAAAACUGACUCCCGGGCAUAUUUUUUUCGGCCUUUAUGGGCAGAGAACUUUAAUACCGCUCAAAAUGAGGCCACCCAGUAGUUAGGUGUGAAUUUUCGAGACCUUUGGCACCGUUCUAAGAUGGGUCCUCUCUUCGUAGGCUAAUGCAUUGGCCCUUUUUGACCCGUUUUGGGGCGAAAACAAAAACUGACUCCCGGGCAUAUUUUUUUCGGCCUUUAUGGGCAGAGAACUUUAAUACCGCUCAAAAUGAGGCCACCCAGUAGUUAGGUGUGAAUUUUCGAGACCUUUGGCACCGUUCUAAGAUGGGUCCUCUCUUCGUAGGCUAAUGCAUUGGCCCUUUUUGACCCGUUUUGGGGCGAAAACAAAAACUGACUCCCGGGCAUAUUUUUUUCGGCCUUUAUGGGCAGAGAACUUUAAUACCGCUCAAAAUGAGGCCACCCAGUAGUUAGGUGUGAAUUUUCGAGACCUUUGGCACCGUUCUAAGAUGGGUCCUCUCUUCGUAGGCUAAUGCAUUGGCCCUUUUUGACCCGUUUUGGGGCGAAAACAAAAACUGACUCCCGGGCAUAUUUUUUUCGGCCUUUAUGGGCAGAGAACUUUAAUACCGCUCGAAAUGAGGCCACCCAGUAGUUAGGUGUGAAUUUUCGAGACCUUUGGCACCGUUCUAAGAUGGGUCCUCUCUUCGUAGGCUAAUGCAUUGGCCCUUUUUGACCCGUUUUGGGGCGAAAACAAAAACUGACUCCCGGGCAUAUUUUUUUCGGCCUUUAUGGGCAGAGAACUUUAAUACCGCUCAAAAUGAGGCCACCCAGUAGUUAGGUGUGAAUUUUCGAGACCUUUGGCACCGUUCUAAGAUGGGUCCUCUCUUCGUAGGCUAAUGCAUUGGCCCUUUUUGACCCGUUUUGGGGCGAAAACAAAAACUGACUCCCGGGCAUAUUUUUUUCGGCCUUUAUGGGCAGAGAACUUUAAUGCCGCUCGGAAUGAGGCCACCCAGUAGUUAGGUGUGAAUUUUCGAGACCUUUGGCACCGUUCUAAGAUGGGUCCUCUCUUCGUAGGCUAAUGCAUUGGCCCUUUUUGACCCGUUUUGGGGCGAAAACAAAAACUGACUCCCGGGCAUAUUUUUUUUCGGCCUUUAUGGGCAGAGAACUUUAAUGCCGCUCGGAAUGAGGCCACCCAGUAGUUAGGUGUGAAUUUUCGAGACCUUUGGCACCGUUCUAAGAUGGGUCCUCUCUUCGUAGGCUAAUGCAUUGGCCCUUUUUGACCCGUUUUGGGGCGAAAACAAAAACUGACUCCCGGGCAUAUUUUUUUCGGCCUUUAUGGGCAGAGAACUUUAAUGCCGCUCAGAAUGAGGCCACCCAGUAGUUAGGUGUGAAUUUUCGAGACCUUUGGCACCGUUCUAAGAUGGGUCCUCUCUUCGUAGGCUAAUGCAUUGGCCCUUUUUGACCCGUUUUGGGGCGAAAACAAAAACUGACUCCCGGGCAUAUUUUUUUUCGGCCUUUAUGGGCAGAGAACUUUAAUGCCGCUCAGAAUGAGGCCACCCAGUAGUUAGGUGUGAAUUUUCGAGACCUUUGGCACCGUUCUAAGAUGGGUCCUCUCUUCGUAGGCUAAUGCAUUGGCCCUUUUUGACCCGUUUUGGGGCGAAAACAAAAACUGACUCCCGGGCAUAUUUUUUUCGGCCUUUAUGGGCAGAGAACUUUAAUGCCGCUCGGAAUGAGGCCACCCAGUAGUUAGGUGUGAAUUUUCGAGACCUUUGGCACCGUUCUAAGAUGGGUCCUCUCUUCGUAGGCUAAUGCAUUGGCCCUUUUUGACCCGUUUUGGGGCGAAAACAAAAACUGACUCCCGGGCAUAUUUUUUUCGGCCUUUAUGGGCAGAGAACUUUAAUGCCGCUCGGAAUGAGGCCACCCAGUAGUUAGGUGUGAAUUUUCGAGACCUUUGGCACCGUUCUAAGAUGGGUCCUCUCUUCGUAGGCUAAUGCAUUGGCCCUUUUUUGACCCGUUUUGGGGCGAAAACAAAAACUGACUCCCGGGCAUAUUUUUUUCGGCCUUUAUGGGCAGAGAACUUUAAUGCCGCUCAGAAUGAGGCCACCCAGUAGUUAGGUGUGAAUUUUCGAGACCUUUGGCACCGUUCUAAGAUGGGUCCUCUCUUCGUAGGCUAAUGCAUUGGCCCUUUUUGACCCGUUUUGGGGCGAAAACAAAAACUGACUCCCGGGCAUAUUUUUUUCGGCCUUUAUGGGCAGAGAACUUUAAUGCCGCUCAGAAUGAGGCCACCCAGUAGUUAGGUGUGAAUUUUCGAGACCUUUGGCACCGUUCUAAGAUGGGUCCUCUCUUCGUAGGCUAAUGCAUUGGCCCUUUUUGACCCGUUUUGGGGCGAAAACAAAAACUGACUCCCGGGCAUAUUUUUUUCGGCCUUUAUGGGCAGAGAACUUUAAUGCCGCUCAGAAUGAGGCCACCCAGUAGUUAGGUGUGAAUUUUCGAGACCUUUGGCACCGUUCUAAGAUGGGUCCUCUCUUCGUAGGCUAAUGCAUUGGCCCUUUUUGACCCGUUUUGGGGCGAAAACAAAAACUGACUCCCGGGCAUAUUUUUUUCGGCCUUUAUGGGCAGAGAACUUUAAUGCCGCUCAGAAUGAGGCCACCCAGUAGUUAGGUGUGAAUUUUCGAGACCUUUGGCACCGUUCUAAGAUGGGUCCUCUCUUCGUAGGCUAAUGCAUUGGCCCUUUUUGACCCGUUUUGGGGCGAAAACAAAAACUGACUCCCGGGCAUAUUUUUUUUCGGCCUUUAUGGGCAGAGAACUUUAAUGCCGCUCAGAAUGAGGCCACCCAGUAGUUAGGUGUGAAUUUUCGAGACCUUUGGCACCGUUCUAAGAUGGGUCCUCUCUUCGUAGGCUAAUGCAUUGGCCCUUUUUGACCCGUUUUGGGGCGAAAACAAAAACUGACUCCCGGGCAUAUUUUUUUCGGCCUUUAUGGGCAGAGAACUUUAAUGCCGCUCAGAAUGAGGCCACCCAGUAGUUAGGUGUGAAUUUUCGAGACCUCUGGCACCGUUCUAAGAUGGGUCCUCUCUUCGUAGGCUAAUGCAUUGGCCCUUUUUGACCCGUUUUGGGGCGAAAACAAAAACUGACUCCCGGGCAUAUUUUUUUCGGCCUUUAUGGGCAGAGAACUUUAAUGCCGCUCAGAAUGAGGCCACCCAGUAGUUAGGUGUGAAUUUUCGAGACCUCUGGCACCGUUCUAAGAUGGGUCCUCUCUUCGUAGGCUAAUGCAUUGGCCCUUUUUGACCCGUUUUGGGGCGAAAACAAAAACUGACUCCCGGGCAUAUUUUUUUCGGCCUUUAUGGGCAGAGAACUUUAAUGCCGCUCAGAAUGAGGCCACCCAGUAGUUAGGUGUGAAUUUUCGAGACCUCUGGCACCGUUCUAAGAUGGGUCCUCUCUUCGUAGGCUAAUGCAUUGGCCCUUUUUGACCCGUUUUGGGGCGAAAACAAAAACUGACUCCCGGGCAUAUUUUUUUCGGCCUUUAUGGGCAGAGAACUUUAAUGCCGCUCAGAAUGAGGCCACCCAGUAGUUAGGUGUGAAUUUUCGAGACCUCUGGCACCGUUCUAAGAUGGGUCCUCUCUUCGUAGGCUAAUGCAUUGGCCCUUUUUGACCCGUUUUGGGGCGAAAACAAAAACUGACUCCCGGGCAUAUUUUUUUCGGCCUUUAUGGGCAGAGAACUUUAAUGCCGCUCAGAAUGAGGCCACCCAGUAGUUAGGUGUGAAUUUUCGAGACCUCUGGCACCGUUCUAAGAUGGGUCCUCUCUUCGUAGGCUAAUGCAUUGGCCCUUUUUGACCCGUUUUGGGGCGAAAACAAAAACUGACUCCCGGGCAUAUUUUUUUCGGCCUUUAUGGGCAGAGAACUUUAAUGCCGCUCAGAAUGAGGCCACCCAGUAGUUAGGUGUGAAUUUUCGAGACCUCUGGCACCGUUCUAAGAUGGGUCCUCUCUUCGUAGGCUAAUGCAUUGGCCCUUUUUGACCCGUUUUGGGGCGAAAACAAAAACUGACUCCCGGGCAUAUUUUUUUCGGCCUUUAUGGGCAGAGAACUUUAAUGCCGCUCAGAAUGAGGCCACCCAGUAGUUAGGUGUGAAUUUUCGAGACCUCUGGCACCGUUCUAAGAUGGGUCCUCUCUUCGUAGGCUAAUGCAUUGGCCCUUUUUGACCCGUUUUGGGGCGAAAACAAAAACUGACUCCCGGGCAUAUUUUUUUCGGCCUUUAUGGGCAGAGAACUUUAAUGCCGCUCAGAAUGAGGCCACCCAGUAGUUAGGUGUGAAUUUUCGAGACCUCUGGCACCGUUCUAAGAUGGGUCCUCUCUUCGUAGGCUAAUGCAUUGGCCCUUUUUGACCCGUUUUGGGGCGAAAACAAAAACUGACUCCCGGGCAUAUUUUUUUCGGCCUUUAUGGGCAGAGAACUUUAAUGCCGCUCAGAAUGAGGCCACCCAGUAGUUAGGUGUGAAUUUUCGAGACCUCUGGCACCGUUCUAAGAUGGGUCCUCUCUUCGUAGGCUAAUGCAUUGGCCCUUUUUGACCCGUUUUGGGGCGAAAACAAAAACUGACUCCCGGGCAUAUUUUUUUCGGCCUUUUAUGGGCAGAGAACUUUAAUGCCGCUCAGAAUGAGGCCACCCAGUAGUUAGGUGUGAAUUUUCGAGACCUCUGGCACCGUUCUAAGAUGGGUCCUCUCUUCGUAGGCUAAUGCAUUGGCCCUUUUUGACCCGUUUUGGGGCGAAAACAAAAACUGACUCCCGGGCAUAUUUUUUUCGGCCUUUAUGGGCAGAGAACUUUAAUGCCGCUCAGAAUGAGGCCACCCAGUAGUUAGGUGUGAAUUUUCGAGACCUCUGGCACCGUUCUAAGAUGGGUCCUCUCUUCGUAGGCUAAUGCAUUGGCCCUUUUUGACCCGUUUUGGGGCGAAAACAAAAACUGACUCCCGGGCAUAUUUUUUUCGGCCUUUAUGGGCAGAGAACUUUAAUGCCGCUCAGAAUGAGGCCACCCAGUAGUUAGGUGUGAAUUUUCGAGACCUCUGGCACCGUUCUAAGAUGGGUCCUCUCUUCGUAGGCUAAUGCAUUGGCCCUUUUUGACCCGUUUUGGGGCGAAAACAAAAACUGACUCCCGGGCAUAUUUUUUUCGGCCUUUAUGGGCAGAGAACUUUAAUGCCGCUCAGAAUGAGGCCACCCAGUAGUUAGGUGUGAAUUUUCGAGACCUCUGGCACCGUUCUAAGAUGGGUCCUCUCUUCGUAGGCUAAUGCAUUGGCCCUUUUUGACCCGUUUUGGGGCGAAAACAAAAACUGACUCCCGGGCAUAUUUUUUUCGGCCUUUAUGGGCAGAGAACUUUAAUGCCGCUCAGAAUGAGGCCACCCAGUAGUUAGGUGUGAAUUUUCGAGACCUCUGGCACCGUUCUAAGAUGGGUCCUCUCUUCGUAGGCUAAUGCAUUGGCCCUUUUUGACCCGUUUUGGGGCGAAAAAAAAAAACUGACUCCCGGGCAUAUUUUUUUCGGCCUUUAUGGGCAGAGAACUUUAAUGCCGCUCAGAAUGAGGCCACCCAGUAGUUAGGUGUGAAUUUUCGAGACCUCUGGCACCGUUCUAAGAUGGGUCCUCUCUUCGUAGGCUAAUGCAUUGGCCCUUUUUGACCCGUUUUGGGGCGAAAACAAAAACUGACUCCCGGGCAUAUUUUUUUCGGCCUUUAUGGGCAGAGAACUUUAAUGCCGCUCAGAAUGAGGCCACCCAGUAGUUAGGUGUGAAUUUUCGAGACCUCUGGCACCGUUCUAAGAUGGGUCCUCUCUUCGUAGGCUAAUGCAUUGGCCCUUUUUGACCCGUUUUGGGGCGAAAACAAAAACUGACUCCCGGGCAUAUUUUUUUCGGCCUUUAUGGGCAGAGAACUUUAAUGCCGCUCAGAAUGAGGCCACCCAGUAGUUAGGUGUGAAUUUUCGAGACCUCUGGCACCGUUCUAAGAUGGGUCCUCUCUUCGUAGGCUAAUGCAUUGGCCCUUUUUGACCCGUUUUGGGGCGAAAACAAAAACUGACUCCCGGGCAUAUUUUUUUCGGCCUUUAUGGGCAGAGAACUUUAAUGCCGCUCAGAAUGAGGCCACCCAGUAGUUAGGUGUGAAUUUUCGAGACCUCUGGCACCGUUCUAAGAUGGGUCCUCUCUUCGUAGGCUAAUGCAUUGGCCCUUUUUGACCCGUUUUGGGGCGAAAACAAAAACUGACUCCCGGGCAUAUUUUUUUCGGCCUUUAUGGGCAGAGAACUUUAAUGCCGCUCAGAAUGAGGCCACCCAGUAGUUAGGUGUGAAUUUUCGAGACCUCUGGCACCGUUCUAAGAUGGGUCCUCUCUUCGUAGGCUAAUGCAUUGGCCCUUUUUGACCCGUUUUGGGGCGAAAACAAAAACUGACUCCCGGGCAUAUUUUUUUCGGCCUUUAUGGGCAGAGAACUUUAAUGCCGCUCAGAAUGAGGCCACCCAGUAGUUAGGUGUGAAUUUUCGAGACCUCUGGCACCGUUCUAAGAUGGGUCCUCUCUUCGUAGGCUAAUGCAUUGGCCCUUUUUGACCCGUUUUGGGGCGAAAACAAAAACUGACUCCCGGGCAUAUUUUUUUCGGCCUUUAUGGGCAGAGAACUUUAAUACCGCUCAGAAUGAGGCCACCCAGUAGUUAGGUGUGAAUUUUCGAGACCUCUGGCACCGUUCUAAGAUGGGUCCUCUCUUCGUAGGCUAAUGCAUUGGCCCUUUUUGACCCGUUUUGGGGCGAAAACAAAAACUGACUCCCGGGCAUAUUUUUUUCGGCCUUUAUGGGCAGAGAACUUUAAUGCCGCUCAGAAUGAGGCCACCCAGUAGUUAGGUGUGAAUUUUCGAGACCUCUGGCACCGUUCUAAGAUGGGUCCUCUCUUCGUAGGCUAAUGCAUUGGCCCUUUUUGACCCGUUUUGGGGCGAAAACAAAAACUGACUCCCGGGCAUAUUUUUUUCGGCCUUUAUGGGCAGAGAACUUUAAUACCGCUCAGAAUGAGGCCACCCAGUAGUUAGGUGUGAAUUUUCGAGACCUCUGGCACCGUUCUAAGAUGGGUCCUCUCUUCGUAGGCUAAUGCAUUGGCCCUUUUUGACCCGUUUUGGGGCGAAAACAAAAACUGACUCCCGGGCAUAUUUUUUUCGGCCUUUAUGGGCAGAGAACUUUAAUACCGCUCAGAAUGAGGCCACCCAGUAGUUAGGUGUGAAUUUUCGAGACCUCUGGCACCGUUCUAAGAUGGGUCCUCUCUUCGUAGGCUAAUGCAUUGGCCCUUUUUGACCCGUUUUGGGGCGAAAACAAAAACUGACUCCCGGGCAUAUUUUUUUCGGCCUUUAUGGGCAGAGAACUUUAAUACCGCUCAGAAUGAGGCCACCCAGUAGUUAGGUGUGAAUUUUCGAGACCUCUGGCACCGUUCUAAGAUGGGUCCUCUCUUCGUAGGCUAAUGCAUUGGCCCUUUUUGACCCGUUUUGGGGCGAAAACAAAAACUGACUCCCGGGCAUAUUUUUUUCGGCCUUUAUGGGCAGAGAACUUUAAUACCGCUCAGAAUGAGGCCACCCAGUAGUUAGGUGUGAAUUUUCGAGACCUCUGGCACCGUUCUAAGAUGGGUCCUCUCUUCGUAGGCUAAUGCAUUGGCCCUUUUUGACCCGUUUUGGGGCGAAAACAAAAACUGACUCCCGGGCAUAUUUUUUUCGGCCUUUAUGGGCAGAGAACUUUAAUGCCGCUCAGAAUGAGGCCACCCAGUAGUUAGGUGUGAAUUUUCGAGACCUCUGGCACCGUUCUAAGAUGGGUCCUCUCUUCGUAGGCUAAUGCAUUGGCCCUUUUUGACCCGUUUUGGGGCGAAAACAAAAACUGACUCCCGGGCAUAUUUUUUUCGGCCUUUAUGGGCAGAGAACUUUAAUACCGCUCAGAAUGAGGCCACCCAGUAGUUAGGUGUGAAUUUUCGAGACCUCUGGCACCGUUCUAAGAUGGGUCCUCUCUUCGUAGGCUAAUGCAUUGGCCCUUUUUGACCCGUUUUGGGGCGAAAACAAAAACUGACUCCCGGGCAUAUUUUUUUCGGCCUUUAUGGGCAGAGAACUUUAAUGCCGCUCAGAAUGAGGCCACCCAGUAGUUAGGUGUGAAUUUUCGAGACCUCUGGCACCGUUCUAAGAUGGGUCCUCUCUUCGUAGGCUAAUGCAUUGGCCCUUUUUGACCCGUUUUGGGGCGAAAACAAAAACUGACUCCCGGGCAUAUUUUUUUCGGCCUUUAUGGGCAGAGAACUUUAAUGCCGCUCAGAAUGAGGCCACCCAGUAGUUAGGUGUGAAUUUUCGAGACCUCUGGCACCGUUCUAAGAUGGGUCCUCUCUUCGUAGGCUAAUGCAUUGGCCCUUUUUGACCCGUUUUGGGGCGAAAACAAAAACUGACUCCCGGGCAUAUUUUUUUCGGCCUUUAUGGGCAGAGAACUUUAAUACCGCUCAGAAUGAGGCCACCCAGUAGUUAGGUGUGAAUUUUCGAGACCUCUGGCACCGUUCUAAGAUGGGUCCUCUCUUCGUAGGCUAAUGCAUUGGCCCUUUUUGACCCGUUUUGGGGCGAAAACAAAAACUGACUCCCGGGCAUAUUUUUUUCGGCCUUUAUGGGCAGAGAACUUUAAUGCCGCUCAGAAUGAGGCCACCCAGUAGUUAGGUGUGAAUUUUCGAGACCUCUGGCACCGUUCUAAGAUGGGUCCUCUCUUCGUAGGCUAAUGCAUUGGCCCUUUUUGACCCGUUUUGGGGCGAAAACAAAAACUGACUCCCGGGCAUAUUUUUUUCGGCCUUUAUGGGCAGAGAACUUUAAUGCCGCUCAGAAUGAGGCCACCCAGUAGUUAGGUGUGAAUUUUCGAGACCUCUGGCACCGUUCUAAGAUGGGUCCUCUCUUCGUAGGCUAAUGCAUUGGCCCUUUUUGACCCGUUUUGGGGCGAAAACAAAAACUGACUCCCGGGCAUAUUUUUUUCGGCCUUUAUGGGCAGAGAACUUUAAUGCCGCUCAGAAUGAGGCCACCCAGUAGUUAGGUGUGAAUUUUCGAGACCUCUGGCACCGUUCUAAGAUGGGUCCUCUCUUCGUAGGCUAAUGCAUUGGCCCUUUUUGACCCGUUUUGGGGCGAAAACAAAAACUGACUCCCGGGCAUAUUUUUUUCGGCCUUUAUGGGCAGAGAACUUUAAUGCCGCUCAGAAUGAGGCCACCCAGUAGUUAGGUGUGAAUUUUCGAGACCUCUGGCACCGUUCUAAGAUGGGUCCUCUCUUCGUAGGCUAAUGCAUUGGCCCUUUUUGACCCGUUUUGGGGCGAAAACAAAAACUGACUCCCGGGCAUAUUUUUUUCGGCCUUUAUGGGCAGAGAACUUUAAUGCCGCUCAGAAUGAGGCCACCCAGUAGUUAGGUGUGAAUUUUCGAGACCUCUGGCACCGUUCUAAGAUGGGUCCUCUCUUCGUAGGCUAAUGCAUUGGCCCUUUUUGACCCGUUUUGGGGCGAAAACAAAAACUGACUCCCGGGCAUAUUUUUUUCGGCCUUUAUGGGCAGAGAACUUUAAUGCCGCUCAGAAUGAGGCCACCCAGUAGUUAGGUGUGAAUUUUCGAGACCUCUGGCACCGUUCUAAGAUGGGUCCUCUCUUCGUAGGCUAAUGCAUUGGCCCUUUUUGACCCGUUUUGGGGCGAAAACAAAAACUGACUCCCGGGCAUAUUUUUUUCGGCCUUUAUGGGCAGAGAACUUUAAUGCCGCUCAGAAUGAGGCCACCCAGUAGUUAGGUGUGAAUUUUCGAGACCUCUGGCACCGUUCUAAGAUGGGUCCUCUCUUCGUAGGCUAAUGCAUUGGCCCUUUUUGACCCGUUUUGGGGCGAAAACAAAAACUGACUCCCGGGCAUAUUUUUUUCGGCCUUUAUGGGCAGAGAACUUUAAUGCCGCUCAGAAUGAGGCCACCCAGUAGUUAGGUGUGAAUUUUCGAGACCUCUGGCACCGUUCUAAGAUGGGUCCUCUCUUCGUAGGCUAAUGCAUUGGCCCUUUUUGACCCGUUUUGGGGCGAAAACAAAAACUGACUCCCGGGCAUAUUUUUUUCGGCCUUUAUGGGCAGAGAACUUUAAUGCCGCUCAGAAUGAGGCCACCCAGUAGUUAGGUGUGAAUUUUCGAGACCUCUGGCACCGUUCUAAGAUGGGUCCUCUCUUCGUAGGCUAAUGCAUUGGCCCUUUUUGACCCGUUUUGGGGCGAAAACAAAAACUGACUCCCGGGCAUAUUUUUUUCGGCCUUUAUGGGCAGAGAACUUUAAUGCCGCUCAGAAUGAGGCCACCCAGUAGUUAGGUGUGAAUUUUCGAGACCUCUGGCACCGUUCUAAGAUGGGUCCUCUCUUCGUAGGCUAAUGCAUUGGCCCUUUUUGACCCGUUUUGGGGCGAAAACAAAAACUGACUCCCGGGCAUAUUUUUUUCGGCCUUUAUGGGCAGAGAACUUUAAUGCCGCUCAGAAUGAGGCCACCCAGUAGUUAGGUGUGAAUUUUCGAGACCUCUGGCACCGUUCUAAGAUGGGUCCUCUCUUCGUAGGCUAAUGCAUUGGCCCUUUUUGACCCGUUUUGGGGCGAAAACAAAAACUGACUCCCGGGCAUAUUUUUUUCGGCCUUUAUGGGCAGAGAACUUUAAUACCGCUCAGAAUGAGGCCACCCAGUAGUUAGGUGUGAAUUUUCGAGACCUCUGGCACCGUUCUAAGAUGGGUCCUCUCUUCGUAGGCUAAUGCAUUGGCCCUUUUUGACCCGUUUUGGGGCGAAAACAAAAACUGACUCCCGGGCAUAUUUUUUUCGGCCUUUAUGGGCAGAGAACUUUAAUGCCGCUCAGAAUGAGGCCACCCAGUAGUUAGGUGUGAAUUUUCGAGACCUCUGGCACCGUUCUAAGAUGGGUCCUCUCUUCGUAGGCUAAUGCAUUGGCCCUUUUUGACCCGUUUUGGGGCGAAAACAAAAACUGACUCCCGGGCAUAUUUUUUUCGGCCUUUAUGGGCAGAGAACUUUAAUACCGCUCAGAAUGAGGCCACCCAGUAGUUAGGUGUGAAUUUUCGAGACCUCUGGCACCGUUCUAAGAUGGGUCCUCUCUUCGUAGGCUAAUGCAUUGGCCCUUUUUGACCCGUUUUGGGGCGAAAACAAAAACUGACUCCCGGGCAUAUUUUUUUCGGCCUUUAUGGGCAGAGAACUUUAAUGCCGCUCAGAAUGAGGCCACCCAGUAGUUAGGUGUGAAUUUUCGAGACCUCUGGCACCGUUCUAAGAUGGGUCCUCUCUUCGUAGGCUAAUGCAUUGGCCCUUUUUGACCCGUUUUGGGGCGAAAACAAAAACUGACUCCCGGGCAUAUUUUUUUCGGCCUUUAUGGGCAGAGAACUUUAAUGCCGCUCAGAAUGAGGCCACCCAGUAGUUAGGUGUGAAUUUUCGAGACCUCUGGCACCGUUCUAAGAUGGGUCCUCUCUUCGUAGGGCUAAUGCAUUGGCCCUUUUUGACCCGUUUUGGGGCGAAAACAAAAACUGACUCCCGGGCAUAUUUUUUUCGGCCUUUAUGGGCAGAGAACUUUAAUACCGCUCAGAAUGAGGCCACCCAGUAGUUAGGUGUGAAUUUUCGAGACCUCUGGCACCGUUCUAAGAUGGGUCCUCUCUUCGUAGGCUAAUGCAUUGGCCCUUUUUGACCCGUUUUGGGGCGAAAACAAAAACUGACUCCCGGGCAUAUUUUUUUCGGCCUUUAUGGGCAGAGAACUUUAAUGCCGCUCAGAAUGAGGCCACCCAGUAGUUAGGUGUGAAUUUUCGAGACCUCUGGCACCGUUCUAAGAUGGGUCCUCUCUUCGUAGGCUAAUGCAUUGGCCCUUUUUGACCCGUUUUGGGGCGAAAACCAAAAACUGACUCCCGGGCAUAUUUUUUUCGGCCUUUAUGGGCAGAGAACUUUAAUACCGCUCAGAAUGAGGCCACCACCCAGUAGUUAGGUGUGAAUUUUCGAGACCUCUGGCACCGUUCUAAGAUGGGUCCUCUCUUCGUAGGCUAAUGCAUUGGCCCUUUUUGACCCGUUUUGGGGCGAAAACAAAAACUGACUCCCGGGCAUAUUUUUUUCGGCCUUUAUGGGCAGAGAAACUUUAAUGCCGCUCAGAAUGAGGCCACCCAGUAGUUAGGUGUGAAUUUUCGAGACCUCUGGCACCGUUCUAAGAUGGGUCCUCUCUUCGUAGGCUAAUGCAUUGGCCCUUUUUGACCCGUUUUGGGGCGAAAACAAAAACUGACUCCCGGGCAUAUUUUUUUCGGCCUUUAUGGGCAGAGAACUUUAAUACCGCUCAGAAUGAGGCCACCCAGUAGUUAGGUGUGAAUUUUCGAGACCUCUGGCACCGUUCUAAGAUGGGUCCUCUCUUCGUAGGCUAAUGCAUUGGCCCUUUUUGACCCGUUUUGGGGCGAAAACAAAAACUGACUCCCGGGCAUAUUUUUUUCGGCCUUUAUGGGCAAAGAACUUUAAUGCCGCUCAGAAUGAGGCCACCCAGUAGUUAGGUGUGAAUUUUCGAGACCUCUGGCACCGUUCUAAGAUGGGUCCUCUCUUCGUAGGCUAAUGCAUUGGCCCUUUUUGACCCGUUUUGGGGCGAAAAACAAAAACUGACUCCCGGGCAUAUUUUUUUCGGCCUUUAUGGGCAAAGAACUUUAAUGCCGCUCAGAAUGAGGCCACCCAGUAGUUAGGUGUGAAUUUUCGAGACCUCUGGCACCGUUCUAAGAUGGGUCCUCUCUUCGUAGGCUAAUGCAUUGGCCCUUUUUGACCCGUUUUGGGGCGAAAACAAAAAACUGACUCCCGGGCAUAUUUUUUUCGGCCUUUAUGGGCAGAGAACUUUAAUGCCGCUCAGAAUGAGGCCACCC